This 497-nucleotide ribosomal RNA is filed under the name uncultured bacterium. RNAcentral describes it as "partial 16S ribosomal RNA". It matches the Rfam family "Bacterial small subunit ribosomal RNA", at positions 28 to 507 of the family's 1533-position model. The record is from RNAcentral.
GAUGAACGCUGGCGGCGUGCCUAAUACAUGCCAGUCGAGCGAACAGACGAGGAGCUAGCUCCUCUGACGUUAGCGGCGGACGGGUGAGUAACACGUGGAUAACCUACCUAUAAGACUGGGAUAACUUCGGGAAACCGGAGCUAAUACCGGAUAAUAUAUUGAACCGCAUGGUUCAAUAGUGAAAGACGGUUUUGCUGUCACUUAUAGAUGGAUCCGCGCCGCAUUAGCUAGUUGGUAAGGUAACGGCUUACCAAGGCAACGAUGCGUAGCCGACCUGAGAGGGUGAUCGGCCACACUGGAACUGAGACACGGUCCAGACUCCUACGGGAGGCAGCAGUAGGGAAUCUUCCGCAAUGGGCGAAAGCUUGACGGAGCAACGCCGCGUGAGUGAUGAAGGUCUUCGGAUCGUAAAACUCUGUUAUUAGGGAAGAACAAAUGUGUAAGUAACUAUGCACGUCUUGACGGUACCUAAUCAGAAAGCCACGGCUAACUACGUG